Long non-coding RNA from Lytechinus pictus (painted urchin), 4764 nucleotides. RefSeq lists it as uncharacterized. The transcript has 2 exons. NCBI's taxonomy places the organism in Eukaryota, Metazoa, Echinodermata, Echinoidea, Temnopleuroida, Toxopneustidae. The record is from RefSeq and is a predicted model, not a curated record.
AGGACAAGAAAAGGGCCAAUGAGAUCAAACAGAUUGACACAUGGCUGCACCCAGCGAACCAAGAACGGAUACUACCAGAGGACAAGCCUCGUGUUAGAAGGUACAAACCCCCUUCAGAGUAUAUGGAGAAAGAGACUGUGCUUUGACCUGCUCGACCAUGCAUCUUGCUUUUGUUUUUUAAUUUAUUAUUAACUCUGCUCGUAUUUAUUUUAAGGGAUGAGGCAAUGGCAAUUAUGGUUUGAAGUGCCAUUAUGGAGCUCUUAUUUUAUAUUUAUGGCCAAAUUGUAGAAUAUAUUCAUUUGGUUGUGUUUCGGGAUGACAGUAUUAACCCAAUGAAGCACUCUCAUUUGUUGUUGAAAUUAUUUUGCCCAUGUGUUUUUAAUAAGUGUACCUACAUACUAAUUCAUGAAAAUAAAAAAAUCAUCAACAUUAUUUCACUGCUGUAAUCAAUUUGGUUUUAUGUUCUCAAUUCUAAUUUAAUCACAGUAAUAAGGUAAAUGUUUGGUAAUCGGCAAGCUGUCUAUUCCCCUUGACUACAUCAUUUGUGAAUUGAUGCCAAGAAAAUUAUCCAUUCCCUCUCCCCCUCCUUUCUUUGGCAUAAUAAAGGCGAAUCAAUUGGACAAACAUUGAAAGAGAAAAAAGGUCUUCUGUCAAGCCAAAAUUAUUUGUCCACUCUGCAAUGCAAGAUUACUUGACAAUUUUUCAAAACUUACCUUCAGAUACAAAAUGAUCCAUUUCAUUAUAAAUUCUUUUGAGUAAUUACUUCAUAUCUAGGGAAGAUUUAUUGACACUUGUUUUUGUGUUUUGUAAAAUGCCUUUUAUACACAGGCACAGAUCGGGGGAAGGGGGGGUGUUAUAUUAUUCCUUAAUAAUGAGGCAGUUGCAUGGCUGUAUUGCAAUGAAAAUAAUAGAAUCCUCGACUGGAAUUUUUUGUAAAAAGAGGGAGUUUGAGGCCCUGUAUCACAUAAAUUUGUGGUCAGUUGUAAAUUUCAAACAUCAAUUAUGAUUGGUUGACACUGGGAUGUUGAACAAACUGUAUAUAUGCAAUCCUGAAUUUUAUUGGCCAUUCUGUAGAGGUGUCGUGGCUCAGUGGAUAGUCUCUGGACUUUGAACUGCAAGGUCCUGGGUUCGAAUCCCACCAUGGCAAUCGUGUCCUUUGGCAAUGCAUUUAUAUUCAUUUAUUUGUCACUCUCCACACAGGUGAAUUAUUGUUUUUGUAAGAUUGUGAUUACUGUCUUCUUUCUUGUGACAGAGCCUAGGCCAUUCAAGAAUAUCUUGACAACUUUGAUCGCUUGUUAAAACCAUGCAUGUUUGUUAUGUUUGCAUUUUACUCUUGCACGUUGAAGGACUACUACCUAGAUUGUUUUAUUGUCAACAUUUUAUCAUUUACAAAAUGCAAAAGAAUGUGAACUUUUUUUUUGAGUGGUAUACGAGCUUAAGAUGUUUGUUCGAGUAGAAACCUAUCGUUACAAUAGACUAAAUACCACCAAAAUUACAGCAGGAAUAUCAAAGCAGAACAUAAUAGAACAGCAUAGAUUUGCUUUGUGCUCUAUCGUGUUACCUCCAUUUACAAAAUUUGCUUCCAGGUCUCGCAACAAAUUAUUCGAGAUUUUUGUUUCAUCUGUUGCUUUCAUCGCUAGCUUGACAAGGAUGUUUUCAAAAGGAUCAGCAUGAUUUUGAUAGUUUGCAUUUGGAGGUACAAGAAAACUUGUAAUGUAUAUCUUGCAGUUUAUACUGUGUGUCCCAGUAACACACAACCAAAUAUCAUUACAUUUUUUUUUGUACAUUCAUAAAAUUUGAUAAGUGUUGCAUAUUUCUAAGGCUUUGGCCCUCUCUUUAAUACUGGUUAAACCAUAAUCAUGCGAUGAAUGAGAAUAUUCCGAAGAUAGGGUACCAAGAGGUCAUUUGAUUGGUGAUAUUUAAAUUUUAGAAAUCAAAUAACAUUAUACUGUAUAGAAUUUCCUUUCUUACCCUUCAUUAUGAAUACGUCCAUCAGGAGAAAUUAGCAAGGAUUAGCAAAGGUCUAAUUGUAAUAUCCACCUACUUGUAUAUGUCCAUGAUUUCAUUUAACAACUUUGUUUUCACUGUCUGCAUGCUGUAACAUCAAAUGCAGUUCAUAAAGACUCUAUGCCUUCCUGAUUGUCAACAGAGUGGUGUGGUGACUGAAAAUGAAAAUCCAAACUUUGUUUGCAUACAUGAUAUAACAGGCAGUUAUUUGUUUUAGUUUUUUUGUAAUUAUAGAAAUGCAUGAACCAAUCUAACAAAUAUGCUUUGUUAUUCCUACAUCAUUUACUCCUCUACUUAGAUUUAGAUUUGUAGUAAAGGGUAGAUGAUUAACUUUAUGAAAUUGUUAUUUAACGCCAAGUUGAUUUUGGCUACAUGUACCUACUUUUCAAAUGUUCACACUCAUUCGUGAAUUCAAUUGCAUCGAUUAAAAGAAAAGAAGAGGACCUAUGUGUUUACUUUAUGAACAUGCAACAAUUAAUGAUUACAAUUCAGGGGCCGGGGAACCCCCACUUUUUCCAAAGGUUAGCUAUUAAUCGUACGCCUGAUUUUCACGAUUUAUUGCACAUUGUAGUUAAUGCAAUUAAUCGUUUUAAAAAGUUUUACGAUGAUAGCUAAGCUUAUUAUGGGCCACUGAUUGUGAUCUAUGCAUGAUUAGCACCCCCCCCCCCUUCAAAAUUGUCCCACGGCCCCUGAAAUUAUGAUAAAGUUACAUGCAUGAUGAAACUCAGUAAUGCUUUGCUUGGAUCUGGGACACUCCAUAGAUACAUGAAACAUGACAACAAAUAUAAGGAGUAACAAAUCUUUAACGACAUCUACCAGACAAUACCUAAACUUAAUUCUGUAAAUUUUAGUAUCAAAUGGAGCCAUUUUGUUUUAAUUGUUUAAUUAAAAACAAAACUGCUGCAUGUAAUUUAAUAUUUUCAUUUGACAUUGGUACUACCUGAUAUUAUUGUUUUAAAAAUUCAUACAAAUCUUACAAUGGAUAUAAUACAUAAAAACGGAGGUAAUGCAUAUAUACCUCUUUUGUUAAUGGCGUGUGAGAUUUGAUCAUUGAAUCAAUCAAGUGCUAAAGGAGGUUAUAACUAAAUAAUAAUUUAUCUCUUCAUAAGUCAUUCCUUGCCAUGUAUAAACAUUUAUAAAGUGUUUUGCAGUGAUCAUGAUUUUGCAAGAUUAAUCCAUUUAUUGCAAAAGUGUUAGUUUUGUACUUUUGAUAGCUCUAAAAGUAUUAACAGGGCAUUCAACCUGGUAUUUAUACUAUUUUGUGUGAAGGAGAAACAUAGGAAUAACAGAAUGGUGAACGUUUGAAAGAAAUCAUACCAAGAAAGAGAAGAGUAUGGCUGUGUCAAACAUGAGAUCACUUAAUCUCAAGAGAGCAUAUUUUUAAAUCUUUCAUAGAAGAAAGACAUCAUUUGGAGGGAACUUAUGACACUUCAGCUAUUCUGUGUCUUGGAGCAAACGGAGGGAUUUUCCUUGGCUAACAAUGAAAGUCACAAUUACAUCACAUACAUGACGAAGCCAAUAUGAAAUCCCAAUUAAAAAAAAAUAUUUUUAAAGAGUCAUAUUUCUUAAUGUUUUUCCGAUUUUGUUCAAACUUUUGCCUUUCUACUUCUCUAUUUUUCCUUUUUACAUUGAAUUCCUCUUAAACCAUUUUCUGACUUUGUAAUGUUUUUCAUUGCUUUAUUUUGCUUGAGAUCCAAGUAUUUAUUCAUAGCAUGUAUUCAUGUUAUUUUAGCAUACAUAAAUAUUUUGCAGUACCACACUGUUAAAAUAAUUUAAACAACGCUGUUUAUAUGUGAAUUACAUAGUAGUUGUUCAAACAGUUUAGACAAGUGUUUAAAAUCUUAAACAACCAUGCUUAAAUUAUUGAUGAUUAAAUAUUUGAAUUUAAACUUUGUCGUUUAAGAUUUUAAACACUUGUUUAAAAUUUUUUAAUGACUACUCUUCAAUUCACAUAGUAAAUAGUUGUUUAAAUUAUUUUAAUAGUGCAGAUUGAGAAAAAAAAAGUUAUCAUUGAAAUACAAUUCCCCCUAAUAAACAUGCUUCAUUAUUAUUUUAUAUAUAAGAACAUUCCAAUUUGCAAGAGAUAAAAUGUAAGCAAUGUGAACUUGUAAUAGCAUAACGUUUGAUACGAAUGAAAACUAACAAAUUUAGAUUUUUUUUCUUAAAUUGUAAUAUGAAUUAACAAAAAAAAAUAAUGAUAAUACAUGUAAACCAACAGGAUAGCGAUGAUGAAACAUAGGUACUUGUUCUUUCUACUAAUAUUGAAAGGAAACUAAAUAAGGCUUCAAUUAAAUUAUUUUUAAAAUAAUACAUUUUUUAUCAAUUGUGAAUUAUGUACAGAAAUACUACCACCCAGCUUCCAUAUUCCUGUUAUUUACAAGAUAAUCAUAAUUUUGAUUUGAUCCAUUUUGAGAUAUGAAUUUUUUAAUUAGAUUGUGUAUAUUCACCAUGUUUCCUCUCACAGUUUUAGCAACAGUAAAUUAUUGUGUAAAUGAUAGAUGUUGUACAUGUAUUUAUUAUGAUGUAUAAAUGAACUUGUGUUUAGUUUAGAAGUUUUUUAUGCAAAUCCAGGGACCAAUUACAGCAUUGAUUUAGGAUCAUGCUAAUUGAGCUAUGCUGGAUGAAUUAAAUAUUCAGUAUCCCAUGUAAAAGAUUCUGAAAAGAAUUAUUUAUUGUAUUUUGCAAGUUUUCUACAGAUAAUCAUGUGAUUAUGGUGCAAAACAAAGAAAUUAUACUAAAACUAAAAAUGAGAACAAA